RNAcentral lists this ribosomal RNA (497 nucleotides) under uncultured bacterium. RNAcentral's name for it is "bacterial SSU rRNA". It matches the Rfam family "Bacterial small subunit ribosomal RNA", at positions 28 to 520 of the family's 1533-position model. The record is from RNAcentral.
GAUGAACGUUGGCGGCGUGCCUAAUACAUGCAAGUCGAACGAAGACUGUAGUAAUACUGUCUUAGUGGCGAACGGGUGAGUAACGCGUGGGUGACCUGCCCCGAAGUGUGGGAUAACAGUCCGAAAGGAUUGCUAAUACUGCAUAAUAUCCAAGAGAUUAGAUGCUUUUGGAUUAAAGGAGUAAUUCGCUUCGGGAGGGGCCCGCGUCCCAUCAGCUAGUUGGUAAGGUAAUGGCUUACCAAGGCGAUGACGGGUAGCCGGCCUGAGAGGGUGUCCGGCCACACUGGAACUGAGACACGGUCCAGACUCCUACGGGAGGCAGCAGUGAGGAAUAUUGGACAAUGGAUGGAAAUCUGAUCCAGCCAUGCCGCGUGCGGGAAGAAGGUCCUAAUGGAUUGUAAACCGCUUUUGUAUUGGGAACAAUAAUAGCUACGUGUAGCUAGAUGAGUGUACCAUACGAAUAAGCAUCGGCUAACUCCGUGCCCAGCAGCCGACGG